AUACGGAGGGUGCAAGCGUUAUUCGGAAUCACUGGGCGUAAAGGACGCGUAGGCGGGUUGGCAAGUCAGAUGUGAAAUCCUACAGCUUAACUGUAGAACUGCAUUUGUAACUGCUAACCUAGAGCAUGGGAGGGGGAGAUGGAAUUAGUGGUGUAGGGGUAAAAUCCGUAGAUAUCACUAGGAAUACCGAAAGCGAAGGCGAUCUCCUGGAACAUAACUGACGCUAAGGCGUGAAAGCGUGGGGAGCAAACAGGAUUAGAAACCCUAGUAGUCC
RNAcentral lists this ribosomal RNA (274 nucleotides) under uncultured bacterium. RNAcentral's name for it is "partial 16S ribosomal RNA". It matches the Rfam family "Bacterial small subunit ribosomal RNA", at positions 523 to 796 of the family's 1533-position model. The record is from RNAcentral.